UACGAAGGGGGCUAGCGUUGCUCGGAAUCACUGGGCGUAAAGCGCACGUAGGCGGCUUCUUAAGUCAGGGGUGAAAUCCUGGAGCUCAACUCCAGAACUGCCUUUGAUACUGAGAGGCUUGAGUCCGGGAGAGGUGAGUGGAACUGCGAGUGUAGAGGUGAAAUUCGUAGAUAUUCGCAAGAACACCAGUGGCGAAGGCGGCUCACUGGCCCGGUACUGACGCUGAGGUGCGAGAGCGUGGGGAGCAAACAGG
RNAcentral lists this ribosomal RNA (253 nucleotides) under uncultured bacterium. RNAcentral's name for it is "partial 16S ribosomal RNA". It matches the Rfam family "Bacterial small subunit ribosomal RNA", at positions 524 to 776 of the family's 1533-position model. The record is from RNAcentral.